This 599-nucleotide ribosomal RNA is filed under the name Escherichia coli. RNAcentral's name for it is "partial 23S ribosomal RNA". It matches the Rfam family "Bacterial large subunit ribosomal RNA", at positions 2180 to 2778 of the family's 2925-position model. The record is from RNAcentral. Lineage: Bacteria; Pseudomonadati; Pseudomonadota; Gammaproteobacteria; Enterobacterales; Enterobacteriaceae.
AUGGAGCCGACCUUGAAAUACCACCCUUUAAUGUUUGAUGUUCUAACGUUGACCCGUAAUCCGGGUUGCGGACAGUGUCUGGUGGGUAGUUUGACUGGGGCGGUCUCCUCCUAAAGAGUAACGGAGGAGCACGAAGGUUGGCUAAUCCUGGUCGGACAUCAGGAGGUUAGUGCAAUGGCAUAAGCCAGCUUGACUGCGAGCGUGACGGCGCGAGCAGGUGCGAAAGCAGGUCAUAGUGAUCCGGUGGUUCUGAAUGGAAGGGCCAUCGCUCAACGGAUAAAAGGUACUCCGGGGAUAACAGGCUGAUACCGCCCAAGAGUUCAUAUCGACGGCGGUGUUUGGCACCUCGAUGUCGGCUCAUCACAUCCUGGGGCUGAAGUAGGUCCCAAGGGUAUGGCUGUUCGCCAUUUAAAGUGGUACGCGAGCUGGGUUUAGAACGUCGUGAGACAGUUCGGUCCCUAUCUGCCGUGGGCGCUGGAGAACUGAGGGGGGCUGCUCCUAGUACGAGAGGACCGGAGUGGACGCAUCACUGGUGUUCGGGUUGUCAUGCCAAUGGCACUGCCCGGUAGCUAAAUGCGGAAGAGAUAAGUGCUGAAAGC